CCCCCUCGUAACUCAAGUAACCAUUAAUAAACAUUAAGCACAAUUCCAUACCAAUUCAUUACAAACUCAGAUCAGAUGGUAGGUCUCAGCUUUUAUAAUUCAUACAUGUUAACCAUACCUAAACCUUUUUCAUUUUGUCACAAAAAUCUUCAAGGUAGUCUCCACAAUGCCUCCAUCAGCAUGUUUAAUAUUUUAACUUCUGCACCUCUUUUCACUGUGAAACCACUGAUUUAAGAUUUUUUCUUCCAUAAAACAAAGUCACCAAUCUGUUUUACUUCAGCUUCAAGAAUAAGGACUCAAAAAUAGAUUAUCCUGUGAUGUAGAUCAUGAAGAUGAACGGAAACUAGUAGCUACAAUUUAGCAAAAUUUAUUCUGAAAGUCCUCAAGCAGUUCAAAGUUCAAACCUAGAUCACAGGGCAAAUGCCUACUCCAACCUCCAAAAUACAGACUGUUCGACUUAGUCUAUGUCCUCUGAAGACAUAACCUAAACUAGACAUUUAAAAACUCAAAACAUUGCACCAUAUAAUUGAGAGAGAGAGAGAAAGAGAGAGAGAGAG
RNAcentral lists this unclassified non-coding RNA (557 nucleotides) under Hevea brasiliensis (rubber tree). Lineage: Eukaryota; Viridiplantae; Streptophyta; Magnoliopsida; Malpighiales; Euphorbiaceae. The record is from RNAcentral.